Molecule: ribosomal RNA, 363 nt
Filed under: uncultured bacterium
Lineage: Bacteria
Description: bacterial SSU rRNA
Rfam family: Bacterial small subunit ribosomal RNA
Source: RNAcentral
GAGUUUUGAUCAUGGCUCAGGAUGAACGCUAGCUACAGGCUUAACACAUGCAAGUCGAGGGGGAAACGAUAUUGGAAAGCUUGCUUUCCGAUAGGGCGUCGACCGGCGCACGGGUGAGUAACGCGUAUCCAACCUGCCCACCACUUGGGGGAUAACCUUGCGAAAGUAAGACUAAUACCCCAAUGAUAUCUCUAGAAGACAUCUGAAAGAGAUUAAAGAUUUAUCGGUGAUGGAUGGGGAUGCGUCUGAUUAGCUUGUUGGCGGGGUAACGGCCCACCAAGGCGACGAUCAGUAGGGGUUCUGAGAGGAACGGUCCCCCACAUUGGAACUGAGACACGGUCCAAACUCCUACGGGAGGCAACA